AAUGCGCAGAUAUCAGGAGGAAACACCGUUGUCGAAGGCGGGUCUCUGGGCAGUAACCUGACGCUGAGGAAGCGAAAGCCUGGGGAGCGAACAGGAUUAGAUAACCUGGUAGUCCACGCCUGUAAACGGUGGGUACUAGUCUUCGGGUUUCCUUCCUUGGGAUCCGUGCCGUAGCUAACGCAUUAAGUACCCCGCCUGGGGAGUACGGCCGCAAGGCUAAAACUCAAAGAAAUUGACCGGGGGCCCGCACAAGCGGCGGAGCAUGUGGAUUAAUUCGAUGCAACGCGAAGAACCUUACCUGGGUUUGACAUGCACAGGACGUGCCUAGAGAUAGGUAUUCCCUUGUGGCCUGUGUGCAGGUGGUGCAUGGCUGUCGUCAGCUCGUGUCGUGAGAUGUUGGGUUAAGUCCCGCAACGAGCGCAACCCUUGUCUCAUGUUGCCAGCACGUUAUGGUGGGGACUCAUGAGAGACUGCCGGGGUCAACUCGGAGGAAGGUGGGGAUGACGUCAAGUCAUCAUGCCCCUUAUGUCCAGGGCUUCACACAUGCUACAAUGGCCGGUACAAAGGGCUGCGAUGCCGUGAGGUGGAGCGAAUCCUUUCAAAGCCGGUCUCAGUUCGGAUCGGGGUCUGCACUCGACCCCGUGAAGUCGGAGUCGCUAGUAAUCGCAGAUCAGCAACGCUGCGGUGAAUACGUUCCCGGGCUUGUACACAC
Molecule: ribosomal RNA, 712 nt
Filed under: uncultured bacterium
Lineage: Bacteria
Description: bacterial SSU rRNA
Rfam family: Bacterial small subunit ribosomal RNA
Source: RNAcentral